RNAcentral lists this long non-coding RNA (2733 nucleotides) under Nicotiana tabacum (common tobacco). Its description in RNAcentral is "long non-coding RNA (NTAB_LNC009158)". The record is from RNAcentral. Lineage: Eukaryota; Viridiplantae; Streptophyta; Magnoliopsida; Solanales; Solanaceae.
GAUUUCUUGGUAUGGAAAAUUAAAUUUAGAGCCUUGACUUAUAGGUUAUACUCCAUGUUUUAGUGAAGAUGCUAAGUUCUAAUAGAUCUCUUCUCGGGUUAAUUCACUCAAUAUAUUCGAAAGAGGGCUAGCUUUUCACGACUACAAAAGUGUUAUAUAUAUUUUAUUCCUACGCUUAUUUUUUUGUAGUUUGUCAUAGUUUGAGAUUGAUAUAUUGUAUAUAUUAUAGUUAUUCGAAGUUGAGAAGAGGUAUUGAAAUUAUCUCAACAUGGUGUAGCAUAGUUUUUAAGUGCUAAAUUUGAUAUGUAAUACAUCCAAACACCUAGUGGUGUUAAACCUGUUGGUUAUAAAUGGAUCUUUGUACGUAAAAGGAAUGAGAAAAAUGAGGUACAAAGAUAUAAGACACGCUUUGUUGCACAAGGAUUUUUACAAAGGCCUGGCGUCGAUUAUGAAGAGACGUAUUCUCCUGUUAUGGAUGCUAUAAAUGUUAUAAGAAAUAUCAAAUUAUAAUGGAUGUCCACUCUUCCUCCAUGAUCUUCAUCUCAAAUGUUUGUUGACAUAUUUAAUGACAUAUUUUUUUAUGUUUAAUGACAUAUUCAAUGAAUUAUUUUUUUCACUUUUCAUGCCUAUAUAAAGGCCUUAUAAUAAAUAGGACAAUACACACAAUUGAAGAAGAAAUAAGAAUCUCUUCUCUCUUUCUCUAUGUAUCUCUUAGCUUAUUUUUCCUUGUUCCAUAUUGUUACUUUGAGUUAUACAUUAUAACACGUUAUCAGCACGAGACUCUACCAUCUCAAGAAGCUCUUUGAGAAGACUAAGCAAAUAUGGAUAUCUCUCAAAGCAAACUUGGAUCAAAUUUCAAUUGUAAAAAUAUUUGCUUAAUUGAUUCAUGUACGACACAUACAAUAUUCAAAAAGAAGAAAUAUUUUUCUCAUUUAAGUAUGUGUAAGGCAGAUGUUAUCAUAAUUUCUGGUAGUAGUAAUCUAAUUGAAGGCUCUGGAAGAGCCACUAUAACUCUGCCUAGUGGAAUAAUACUUAUCAUAGAGAAUGCAAUGUUCUCCUCCAAGUCUAAGAGGAACUUGUUGAGUUUUAAAUAUAUCCGUCAAAAUGGAUUUCAUAUUGAGACAAUAGAUGAGAAUAAUAUCGAAUAUCUCAUCGUUACCAAGAAUGCCUCUGGCCAGAAAAGGGUUAUUGAGAAGUUUCCAUCUUUAUCUUGUGGCCUGUAUUGGACAAGAAUUUGUANNNNNNNNNNNNNNNNNNNNNNNNNNNNNNNNNNNNNNNNNNNNNNNNNNNNNNNNNNNNNNNNNNNNNNNNNNNNNNNNNNNNNNNNNNNNNNNACAAAGGUUGGGAUUGAGUUCCCUGCGUUUUUGGAACGUAUACAAGGAGAUAUUUGUGGACCCAUUCACUCACCUAGUGAGUCGUUUAGGUAUUUUAUAGUCUUAAUAAACGCAUCCUCUAGAUAGUCUCAUGUGUGCCUAUUGUCAUCUCGCAAUCUGGCGUUUACAAAAUUAAUAGCACAAAUAAUUCGAUUAUGGGCACAGUUUCCCUAUAAUCCAAUUAAGUCUAUUCGACUUGAUAAUGCUGCUGAGUUUUCAUCCCAAGUAUUUAAUGAUUAUUGAUUAUCAAUUAGAAUAAAAGUGGAACAUCAUGUAGCUCAUGUUCACACUCAAAAUGGCCCUGCAGAGUCUUUGAUUAAACGUCUGCAAUUGAUAGGAAGACCGUUACUCAUGAAAACGAAAUUACUCACCUCUAUUUGGUCUCAUGCCAUUUUGCAUGCAACAAUGGUAAUUCGUCUCAGACCGACAAAUUAUCAUAAAUAUUUCCCGUUGUAAUUCAUUUUGGGUCAUGAACCUAAUAUAUCCCAUAUAUGAAUUUUUGGAUACGCUGUAUAUGUGCCUGUAGCACCGCCAUAUCAUACCAAGAUGGGUCCCUAAAUAAGGUUAGGGUUAUAUGUUGGGUUUGAAUCGCUCUCCAUUAUUCGCUACCUUAAAACAUUAACGGGAGAUUUUUUCACUUGUCGAUUCGAUAAGGCAUUUUCCCCCAAAAUUAGGAAGAGAAAUUGGUGAAACCAAAAGUGAAAUUUUGUGAAAAAAUACGUCAUUGUCUCAUCUUGAUCCACGUGCCUCUAUUUGUGAAAAAGAGGCGAAAAAGAUUAUCCAUUUGUAGAAAAUAGCAAAUCAAAUGCCAGAUGGAUUUACAUAUCUGAAAAGAAUAACGAAAUCACAUAUCCCUGCAGAGAAUAUUCCAAUUUGUAUUGAUGUCCCUGUUGUUGGACAAUCUUCUAAUGUUAUAGCUAAUGAGUCAAAAGCAUGCCUACAACGUGGCAGGCAUUGGGUUCUAAGGAUCGAAAUCCUAGAAAAAGGAAAAUAAAUGAUCAAGAUGACACUACGAAAGAGCCUUAUAAAGAAACCCAUGAUUUAACCAAUCCUGAAAUUCAUGAGGAUAUCGAUGAGCCUAAGACUCAAGAAAAAAAGGAGCUAUCAAUAAAUCCAAUCGAUAUUGAGACAAAUUUGAAUCGAUUGAAUAUAGUAGUGGAUUAUGUCUUUGCAUACAAUGUUGCAUCUAGCAUUAUGUAAGAAACUGAGGAUCUCGAACCUCAAUCUAUUGGAGAAUGUUUACAAAGACGUGAUUGGCCAAAAUGGCAAGAAGCAAUCCAAUCUGAGUUAGAUUUACUUGCGAAACGUAAAGUUUUUGGGCAUGUAGUCCAAACACCUAAUGGUGUUAAUCUUGUUGGCU